CUUCAUACAAUAUGGUAGCAGGCUAUAGUGCAUAAACAUAAAUCCUAACAGUCUAAACAAUUGGGGUUUACUUUCUCACUUUUAGAUAAUGUAAUACACGCAUCUAUCUUCACGCACGACUGGAUAGGCCUUUUGGAUACGCUUGUCAAAGGCCCAAGACAUAAAGUCGCCUGAAAGCUGUGUAGCAAUAAUUCCAGCUCCUGAUCCAUAGGAUGGUAAUCACAUACAUGAUUGGCUUAAUCUAGAAUCAUGGAUACCUUUCAUGUGAGUACACACACCAGAUUUUUUUACAUACCUCAGAAGGAAGAUACCUCAAUAUCUGYAAGCACUGUCUCAUGUACAAUUGUUAAUGCUAUCUCUGAAAUGUCUAACAAAAUGUUGACCUGAUGAUUUCAUCAAGACCUUCUCAUCACACGUUGGAACUAGUGGUCAACAUUGGGACAAUGCAGCCCAAAAUAACAGGGGCCAAUAUUUUKAUGGAGUGAGCAGGACCUGCCAGCAGAGCUCACUGGAGCAGGGAGACAWCCCGUCAUCCUUUUGGCGCCUGACAAAGCUUGAGYUUCAGAUCCUGCUGAACGAUGUUAAGCAGUCGAUUAACCACAUGCAGGGGACGCUGAACACCAUGCAGGGGCAGUGWAUUGAG
Non-coding RNA from Salvelinus sp. IW2-2015, 643 nucleotides. Lineage: Eukaryota; Metazoa; Chordata; Actinopteri; Salmoniformes; Salmonidae. The record is from RefSeq and is a predicted model, not a curated record.